Molecule: ribosomal RNA, 301 nt
Filed under: uncultured bacterium
Lineage: Bacteria
Description: partial 16S ribosomal RNA
Rfam family: Bacterial small subunit ribosomal RNA
Source: RNAcentral
CAGUCGCCACGGGAAUACGAAGGGUGCAAGCGUUACUCGGAAUUACUGGGCGUAAAGCGUGCGUAGGUGGCGGUUUAAGUCCGUUGUGAAAGCCCUGGGCUCAACCUGGGAAUUGCAGUGGAUACUGGGUCACUAGAGUGUGGUAGAGGAUAGUGGAAUUUCCGGUGUAGCAGUGAAAUGCGUAGAGAUCGGAAGGAACAUCUGUGGCAAAGGCGACUAUCUGGGCCAACACUGACACUGAGGCACGAAAGCGUGGGGAGCAAACAGGAUUAGAUACCCCUGUAGUCCCUGUCUCUUAUAA